Molecule: ribosomal RNA, 131 nt
Filed under: uncultured bacterium
Lineage: Bacteria
Description: partial 23S ribosomal RNA
Rfam family: Bacterial large subunit ribosomal RNA
Source: RNAcentral
GUUAAGCGACUAAGCGUACACGGUGGAUGCCUAGGCAGUCAGAGGCGAUGAAGGGCGUGCUAAUCUGCGAAAAGCGUCGGUAAGGUGAUAUGAACCGUUAUAACCGACGAUACCCGAAUGGGGAAACCCGG